RNAcentral lists this long non-coding RNA (545 nucleotides) under Vitis vinifera (wine grape). RNAcentral describes it as "long non-coding RNA (VVIN_LNC001781)". Lineage: Eukaryota; Viridiplantae; Streptophyta; Magnoliopsida; Vitales; Vitaceae. The record is from RNAcentral.
GUCGAAGGCAUUCAAGUUCGUGGGGCUUCGGUCCUCUUUUUCGGAUUUGAGUCCGAAAUCUUCUUCAUGGAACUUCACCUCUUUGUAUCCUUUUCUGAACCAUGGGUCCUGCAGGAUUUCAUCGACGGUGAUCCUGGUGUUGGGGUUGGUGUCGAGGAGGCGAGAAAGGAAACGUUUAAGGUCCGGCGACAUCCAUUUAGGGCACCGGAACUCGCCUUUGUAUAUUUUCUUGUACAUGGCCAUGAGAUUGGGAUCGUUGAAGGGUAGGUAACCGGCGUUCAACACGAAGAGGAUGACUCCGCAGGACCACACAUCCACUUUCGCCCCAUCGUAGCCUUUCUUGGUGAGAAUCUCCGGCGCGACGUAAGCUGGAGUGCCGCACAAGGUGUGCAGGAGGCCGUCGAGGCGAAUCUGAUCCGUCAAGGCGCUGAGCCCGAAAUCUGAAACCUUCAAGCACCCGUUCUCGUCAACGAGGAGGUUCUCCGGUUUCAGAUCCCGGUGAAACACCCCCCGCGAAUGGCAGUACCCGACGGCGGAGAUCAACU